AAUUUUUGAAGUCCUGCAGAGUUGAAGUAGAAUGUUUUCUAUUUGAAACAUUCUGAAUUCUGAAUUAUGUGCAGCAUGAUGUCUAAAAGCUAAGCUGAGUAGAAUUUUGGCAGUCUUGCAGCACUGAAGAGAUAAAGAUUAGAAUUCAGGGCCGGGCACGGUGGCUCAAGCCUGUAAUCCCAGCACUUUGGGAGGCCGAGGCGGGUGGAUCACGAGGUCAACAGAUCGAGACCAUCCUGGUCAACAUGGUGAAACCCCGUCUCUAUUAAAAAUACAGAAAAAAUUAGCUGGGCAUGGUGGCGUGUGCCUGUAAUCCCAGCUACUCGGGAGGCUGAGGCAGGAGAAUUGCCUGAACCCAGGAGACGGAGGUCGCGUGAGCAAUCUGCAAUGAAGAAAAAUUAUUUAAGAGUGGAUGCUGUUCUUCAUAAAAUCACAAUUUGGUAAGCCAGUAAACAUACUUGAAACUAUCAAUAUAUUAAAAAUUGUAUUUAAAUACUAGUUUAAUUAGAAAACAGACAUUUAAAUAUGUUAUCACAACCUGACACUUUCAAGGACUUAAAAAACUACUUCUUUAUUGAUAUAAAUUUCUGAAUACUAUUAGUUGAUAACUGCAUAAUAUUACUACUGUA
RNAcentral lists this long non-coding RNA (629 nucleotides) under Callithrix jacchus (white-tufted-ear marmoset). RNAcentral's name for it is "lncRNA (ENSCJAG00000084409.1)". Lineage: Eukaryota; Metazoa; Chordata; Mammalia; Primates; Cebidae. The record is from RNAcentral.